AAGACGACGACGUUGAUAGGUCGGGUGUGUAAGCGUAGCGAUACGUUGAGCUAACCGAUACUAAUGAACCGUGAGGCUUAACCUUACAACGCCGAAGC
RNAcentral lists this ribosomal RNA (98 nucleotides) under Klebsiella ornithinolytica. RNAcentral describes it as "Raoultella ornithinolytica partial 23S ribosomal RNA". The stretch from base 1 to 85 matches the Rfam family "Bacterial large subunit ribosomal RNA", at positions 2841 to 2925 of the family's 2925-position model. The record is from RNAcentral. Lineage: Bacteria; Pseudomonadati; Pseudomonadota; Gammaproteobacteria; Enterobacterales; Enterobacteriaceae.